CAGCCGCCGCGGUAAAACGGAGGGUGCGAGCGUUAAUCGGAAUAACUGGGCGUAAAGGGCACGCAGGCGGUUAUUUAAGUGAGGUGUGAAAGCCCCGGGCUUAACCUGGGAAUUGCAUUUCAGACUGGGUAACUAGAGUACUUUAGGGAGAGGUAGAAUUCCACGUGUAGCGGUGAAAUGCGUAGGGAUGUGGAGGAAUACCGAAGGCGAAGGCAGCCCCUUGGGAAUGUACUGACGCCCAUGUGCGAAAGCGUGGGGAGCAAACAGGAUUAGAGACCCCAGUAGUCCCUGUCUCUUAUAC
RNAcentral lists this ribosomal RNA (301 nucleotides) under uncultured bacterium. Its description in RNAcentral is "partial 16S ribosomal RNA". It matches the Rfam family "Bacterial small subunit ribosomal RNA", at positions 509 to 807 of the family's 1533-position model. The record is from RNAcentral.